GAAGGGGGCUAGCGUUGCUCGGAAGCACUGGGCGUAAAGGGGGCGUAGGCGGGUCUGUAAGUCAGGGGGGAAAUCCUGGAGCUCAACUCCAGAACUGCCCUUGAUACUGAGGAUCUUGAGUUCGGGAGAGGUGAGUGGAACUGCGAGUGUAGAGGUGAAAUUCGUAGAUAUUCGCAAGAACACCAGUGGCGAAGGCGGCUCACUGGCCCGAUACUGACGCUGAGGCACGAAAGCGUGGGGAGCAAACAGG
RNAcentral lists this ribosomal RNA (250 nucleotides) under uncultured bacterium. RNAcentral describes it as "partial 16S ribosomal RNA". It matches the Rfam family "Bacterial small subunit ribosomal RNA", at positions 527 to 776 of the family's 1533-position model. The record is from RNAcentral.